AACCAUUCUCACCUGCGGCUAGACCUGCGGAAGGAUCAUUACACAAUACAAUAUGAAGGCUGUCCGCAGCUGGAGUAUUUUAUUACCCUUGUCUUUUGCGCACUUGUUGUUUCCUGGGCGGGUUCGCUCGCCACCAGGACCACCAAAUAAACCUUUUUUAUGCAGUUGCAAUCAGCGUCAGUACAAACAAUGUAAAUCAUUUACAACUUUUAGCAACGGAUCUCAGAUCGGAAGAGCACA
Molecule: unclassified non-coding RNA, 240 nt
Filed under: soil metagenome
Description: partial contains 5.8S ribosomal RNA, internal transcribed spacer 2, and large subunit ribosomal RNA
Source: RNAcentral